Non-coding RNA from Podarcis lilfordi (Lilford's wall lizard), 83 nucleotides. The record is from the annotation of a GenBank genome assembly. Lineage: Eukaryota; Metazoa; Chordata; Lepidosauria; Squamata; Lacertidae.
GCUGGGAUUGUUCAAUCGGUAGAUCAUGAGACUCUUAAUCUCACGGUUGUGGGUUCAAGACAAAAGAUUCCUGCAUUGCAGAG